This 254-nucleotide ribosomal RNA is filed under the name uncultured bacterium. RNAcentral describes it as "partial 16S ribosomal RNA". It matches the Rfam family "Bacterial small subunit ribosomal RNA", at positions 524 to 776 of the family's 1533-position model. The record is from RNAcentral.
CACGUAGGCACCAAGCGUUGUCCGGAUUUAUUGGGCGUAAAGAGCUCGUAGGCGGUGGAGUAAGUCGGGUGUGAAAACUCUGGGCUUAACCCAGAGCCGCCACCCGAUACUGCUCUGACUUGAGUUCGGUAGGGGAGCAGGGAAUUCCUAGUGUAGCGGUGAAAUGCGCAGAUAUUAGGAGGAACACCGGUGGCGAAGGCGAUGCUCUGGGCCGAUACUGACGCUGAGGAGCGAAAGCGUGGGUAGCAAACAGG